AUUGAACGCUGGCGGCAGGCCUAACACAUGCAAGUCGAACGAGUGGCGGACGGGUGAGUAAUGUCUGGGAAACUGCCCGAUGGAGGGGGAUAAAUACUGGAAACGGUAGCUAAUACCGCAUAUCAUCGGAUGUGCCCAGAUGGGAUUAGCUAGUGGGUGGGGUAAAGGCUCACCUAGGCGACGAUCCCUAGCUGUUCUGAGAGGAUUACCAUCCACACUGGGAGUGAGAAACGGGCCAGACUCCUCCGUGAGGCAGCAGUGGGGAAUAUUCGACAAUGUGCGCAAGCCUGAUGCAGCCAUGCCGCGUGUAUGAAGAAGGCCUUCGGUUUGUAAAGUACUUUCAGCGGGGAGGCGUUACCCGCAGAAGAAGCACCGGCUAACUCCGUGCCAGCCGCCGCGGUAAUAC
This 406-nucleotide ribosomal RNA is filed under the name uncultured bacterium. Its description in RNAcentral is "partial 16S ribosomal RNA". It matches the Rfam family "Bacterial small subunit ribosomal RNA", at positions 30 to 526 of the family's 1533-position model. The record is from RNAcentral.